AACGAACGCUGGCGGCAUGCCUAACACAUGCAAGUCGAACGAUUAUGGAACUAGCUUGCUAGAACCCAGAUAGUGGCAGACGGGUGAGUAACGCGUGGGAAUCUUCCUAGUAGUACGGAAUAGCCGUUGGAAACGACGGAUAAUACCGUAUAUUCCCUGAGGGGGAAAGAUUUAUCGCUACUAGAUGAGCCCGCGUUAGAUUAGCUAGUUGGUAGGGUAAUGGCCCACCAAGCCAACGAUCUGUAGCUGGUCUGAGAGGACGACCAGCCACACUGGAACUGAGACACGGUCCAGACUCCUACGGGAGGCAGCAGUGGGGAAUUUUGGACAAUGGGCGAAAGCCUGAUCCAGCCAUUCCGCGUGCAGGAUGAAGGCCCUCGGGUUGUAAACUGCUUUUGUACAGAACGAAAAGGUUUCUACUAAUACUAGGAGCUCAUGACGGUACUGUAAGAAUAAGCACCGGCUAACUACGUGCCAGCAGCCGCGGUAA
Molecule: ribosomal RNA, 490 nt
Filed under: uncultured bacterium
Lineage: Bacteria
Description: partial 16S ribosomal RNA
Rfam family: Bacterial small subunit ribosomal RNA
Source: RNAcentral